Molecule: unclassified non-coding RNA, 329 nt
Organism: Panthera pardus (leopard)
Lineage: Eukaryota; Metazoa; Chordata; Mammalia; Carnivora; Felidae
Gene: 7SK
Rfam family: 7SK RNA
About the family: 7SK was discovered as an abundant small nuclear RNA in the mid-70s but a possible function has only recently been suggested. Two independent studies have found that 7SK RNA binds the CDK9/cyclin T complex (known as elongation factor P-TEFb).
Source: Ensembl
GAAUGUGAGGGUGCUCUGGCUGUGACAUCUGUCACCCCAUUGAUCGCCAGGGUUGAUUUUCAGCUGAUCCGGCUGGCUGGGCAGGUGUUGCCUUCCUCCCUAACAGCUCCAUGUCUGUCCCUCCAGAAGCUGCAUGCUCCCUUAAAGAUGAUGACCUUAUAGAGGAGGACCCAUUCUUCCAUCAAGUGUAUGUGAGUAGCUGUACUCCCCUAUUAGAAUCUCCAAACAAGCUCUCAAGGUCCAUUUGUAGGAGAAUAUAGGGUAGUCAAACUUCCAAGAUUCCAGACAUAUCCAAAUGAGGUGCUGCAUGUGGCAGUCUGCAUUUGUUA